Molecule: long non-coding RNA, 250 nt
Organism: Cyclopterus lumpus (lumpfish)
Lineage: Eukaryota; Metazoa; Chordata; Actinopteri; Perciformes; Cyclopteridae
Exons: 3
Source: RefSeq, a predicted model, not a curated record
GAGAAGUGUUUUAAUGACUCCUUUAACAUGUUGAAUCCAAGAGGGAAGGAAGCCACAAUGGAGACCAACUUCAACCACAACGAUGAAGGCUUGUUUAUGACUGAUCCCAGACCACCAGAAUACGUCCAGGCUUUACAGAGGAAGACUGUGAAAGAACUGCUGCUGCAGAGCCGCCAGGAAUGGAACGACGGGAACUCUGUGCACGCGUUUGAACGUGCAAAGUUCGAAGCGUGUGGCAAAGUGCCAGAGG